This 383-nucleotide ribosomal RNA is filed under the name Bacillus subtilis. Its description in RNAcentral is "bacterial SSU rRNA". It matches the Rfam family "Bacterial small subunit ribosomal RNA", at positions 535 to 917 of the family's 1533-position model. The record is from RNAcentral. Lineage: Bacteria; Bacillati; Bacillota; Bacilli; Caryophanales; Bacillaceae.
GGAGCGUUGUCCGGAAUUAUUGGGCGUAAGGGCUCGCAGGCGGUUUCUUAAGUCUGAUGUGAAAGCCCCCGGCUCAACCGGGGAGGGUCAUUGGAAACUGGGGAACUUGAGUGCAGAAGAGGAGAGUGGAAUUCCACGUGUAGCGGUGAAAUGCGUAGAGAUGUGGAGGAACACCAGUGGCGAAGGCGACUCUCUGGUCUGUAACUGACGCUGAGGAGCGAAAGCGUGGGGAGCGAACAGGAUUAGAUACCCUGGUAGUCCACGCCGUAAACGAUGAGUGCUAAGUGUUAGGGGGUUUCCGCCCCUUAGUGCUGCAGCUAACGCAUUAAGCACUCCGCCUGGGGAGUACGGUCGCAAGACUGAAACUCAAGGGAAUUGACGGA